GGAGAGGUGGCAGAGCGGUCGAUCGCGCCGUCUUGGAAAGGCGGAGACCCUUCACGGGGUCCGCGGGUUCGAAUCCCGCCCUCUCCGCCA
This 90-nucleotide transfer RNA is filed under the name Mesorhizobium amorphae. RNAcentral's name for it is "tRNA-Ser". It matches the Rfam family "tRNA". From Rfam's summary of the family: Transfer RNA (tRNA) molecules are approximately 80 nucleotides in length. Their secondary structure includes four short double-helical elements and three loops (D, anti-codon, and T loops). The record is from RNAcentral. Lineage: Bacteria; Pseudomonadati; Pseudomonadota; Alphaproteobacteria; Hyphomicrobiales; Phyllobacteriaceae.